RNAcentral lists this long non-coding RNA (1584 nucleotides) under Pelobates cultripes (western spadefoot toad). The record is from RNAcentral. Lineage: Eukaryota; Metazoa; Chordata; Amphibia; Anura; Pelobatidae.
GAUCGCUUGGAUGUCCUGGUUCCCGCUGCAGAGAGUCGAACGGAGAUCUUUCGGUAGUAAGCUGCAAAUGUAGAAUAUCCCCAAGCACGAUAUGAGCAUCAAUAUCCCGGAUCCCUACAACAUGAGUCGAGGCUGCAAGUUGAGGGUCAAAACGAACUGGCUUUACUGGCACAUAGCAUGGCAAAUUAUGUGAUUCCUCAGGUCCAAGGACAGCCCCCUGUGGACCUGAUGGAAUACAGGUACAGUACAAACAGCUAACCAAUCACAGUACACUGUAUCAUUUGAAUUAGUACCCGCCCAGCUUGGAGAUAAUGAGGCCAACGGUUUUACAAUCUAAUUAUCUCCAAGCGCACAAAAGACCACGUUUUAUUAUGUCCCAGAAAACUACAUAAAAAUCCAUAACUUGUACAUUAUUACAGGAAAACCAUUCAUUCUACCAUUCAUCUGAAGGCUCGCGUUCGUAUAGAUAAAACAGGCGAAUGGCGCUCUAAUCCCACGAACAGAAUGUACUGUUUCUGCCGUAUAAAGUCCGUUCGGCAUUUUGAGAUUGUUAGUCUUUGUUGGCGGCCAUGUUUUCUGCUGGUUUAGCGAGCAGCGGGACUUCGUGUCUAACUCGUGGAACUAAACUCGGUAUCAGUCCAUGUGAAGUCCCGCUGUCUGUCUGGUAGUGGGCUCGGUCGGUAAGAGAAUGAGGACCACCUGGGAGCAGGGUACUUGACCUGCGGUUAACCGCAGAAACCACAGUUAAUGAGCGCCACGCGACUCGCUGUAGGGGGUCGUCGUUCGGUGGAUAGUUCGGUAUUUUCCCUUCGGUACUUUGGGUGCGAACGUCGAUGCCCCCAGGCAUAUCAAUUACGUUGUGGUUAACCGCAAACCGCAGCCACCUGGGUGGUUAAUGGCUGCCACACUCCGCGGGCCGGGUGGUCGACCAUUCGGUAGUUUGCGGGGUGACGGGGUUAAGUGGCGGCACACGCCAGUUUCUGGGGGGUCCCCCGUUCGUACCACGAAUGGAGCCUUCAUAAGGGUUCGCGUAAUCCAUUCGUGUGGUUUUCUGCUUAACUUCUGCAGUGGCAAACAGUAUCAAUCGGUGAGUUAAAACAGCAACAUAGUGAUUUCCAGUCUUUUGUAACAGUAGUUAUCAGGGGAUGAUGGGAGAUGUAGUUCACCAUGUAGUCGGAUGAUGGGAGAUGUAGUUCUCCAUGCACAGGGUGAUGGUAGAUGUAGUUAUAUAUGAAGGGGGUGAUGGGAGAUGUAGUUAUCCAUGUAGUGGGAUGAUGGGAGGCGUAGUUAGCUAUGCAUGGAGAUGAUGGGAGAUGUAGUUCUCCAUGCAGUGGGAUGAUGAGAGAUGUAGUUCUCCAUGCAGUGGGUGAUGGGAGAUGUAGUUCUUCAUGCAGGGGAUGCUGGGAGAUAUAGUUCUCCAUGCAGUGGGUGAUGGGAGACGUAGUUCUCCAUGCAGUUGGUGGUGGGAGAUGUAGUUCUCCAUGUAGUGGGAUGAAGGGAGAUGUAGUUCUCCAUGCAGUGGGAUGAUGGGAGAUGUAGUUAUCUAUGCAGGGACGAUGGGAGAUGUACUUCUCCAUGCAGUGG